This 919-nucleotide long non-coding RNA is filed under the name Homo sapiens (human). Its description in RNAcentral is "non-protein coding lnc-BMP6-106:63". The stretch from base 681 to 919 matches the Rfam family "Highly up-regulated in liver cancer conserved region". Lineage: Eukaryota; Metazoa; Chordata; Mammalia; Primates; Hominidae. The record is from RNAcentral.
GGGGUAGAGACGCUAGGCCGGCACUGCCUAGGUGGGCCGGGCGGUGCGAGGGUCGCCUUUCAGCCUUUACCUCUACCCACUGAAAUGGAGUAGGUCGGUGAGCGCCGAUCUGCUGGAGAAUCUCAUUAUCCCAUCGGCGCUCUGCCUGCUCCUGGCCUCCAAGCCUCUGAAGCCCCUCGGGUUUCAGCUGCCGGCUACCCUCGAGCCCGUGGUGCCCACGAGAGAGGCGACUUUACGUCAGCGGCCCUGGGCUGAGAUUUGAGAACGCGACCAAGUGGAGAAUGUUGGAGCCAGAUUUUAAAAUCCUUGUCUUCCUUCUGCGUGCUACUUGAUCUAAAUGAGAUACGGCAAAGUCACAGAACCUGUUUUUAUGUUUUUGCCUGAUUCAUACGGGCUUCUCCGGUGAAGAUGGGCCUGAAGUAACGCUUGGGUUGCUUCUGACGUUAUAACUCAUCCUGUAGCUGCAGCAACCGUGGUCCUUGCAACCUCAUAAAAAUGUUGCCAGCAUUGUUUCGAUAGUGCUGCUUAAUUCUUGGAAGGUUCUUCGGACUUCACACAUUCCAGCAGUAGCUCUCUCAGCUCCUGUCCUGCACAGCUUUGAAGUGCUGGUGAUGUCAUUGAACUCUUAAGUGCAAGAUGAAACAAGUCUUUCUGGGGUUCUAAGUAGAAAUGCAUAUGUAUCUUUGGAAGAAACUCUGAAGUAAAGGCCGGAAUAUUCUUUGUUUAAAACAUUAAAAACAAAACAGACCAAAGCAUCAAGCAAGAAGUUUCCUGGCAAUAAACUAAGCACAGCAUUAUUUUUUAAGGAACACAAAUUAAGUGUUCAACCUGUGGCAAAUUUGUACUUUCUCCCUGAAUUAUGUUGUUAUCAAAGAAAAAAAUUGGGAAGCAUGGCAAAAUAUCAUCAAAACUGAAACUA